RNAcentral lists this ribosomal RNA (29 nucleotides) under Meloidogyne hapla. Its description in RNAcentral is "partial 28S ribosomal RNA". The record is from RNAcentral. Lineage: Eukaryota; Metazoa; Nematoda; Chromadorea; Rhabditida; Meloidogynidae.
GACCUGAGCUCAGUCGAGAUCACCCGCUG